GACAGAGGGGGCAAGCGUUGCUCGGAAUUACUGGGCGUAAAGGGCGCGUAGGCGGGAUGGCAAGUCGGUCGUGAAAUCCUUCGGCUCAACCGAAGAACGUCGAUCGAUACUGCUGUUCUUGAGGGUUGCAGAGGAGACUGGAAUUCCCGGUGUAGCGGUGAAAUGUGUAGAGAUCGGGAGGAACACCGGUGGCGAAGGCGGGUCUCUGGGCAAUUCCUGACGCUGAGGCGCGAAAGCGUGGGGAGCGAACAGG
This 253-nucleotide ribosomal RNA is filed under the name uncultured bacterium. RNAcentral describes it as "partial 16S ribosomal RNA". It matches the Rfam family "Bacterial small subunit ribosomal RNA", at positions 524 to 776 of the family's 1533-position model. The record is from RNAcentral.